Molecule: ribosomal RNA, 608 nt
Filed under: Mycobacterium tuberculosis
Lineage: Bacteria; Bacillati; Actinomycetota; Actinomycetes; Mycobacteriales; Mycobacteriaceae
Description: bacterial SSU rRNA
Rfam family: Bacterial small subunit ribosomal RNA
Source: RNAcentral
GACGAAGGUCCGGGUUCUCUCGGAUUGACGGUAGGUGGAGAAGAAGCACCGGCCAACUACGUGCCAGCAGCCGCGGUAAUACGUAGGGUGCGAGCGUUGUCCGGAAUUACUGGGCGUAAAGAGCUCGUAGGUGGUUUGUCGCGUUGUUCGUGAAAUCUCACGGCUUAACUGUGAGCGUGCGGGCGAUACGGGCAGACUAGAGUACUGCAGGGGAGACUGGAAUUCCUGGUGUAGCGGUGGAAUGCGCAGAUAUCAGGAGGAACACCGGUGGCGAAGGCGGGUCUCUGGGCAGUAACUGACGCUGAGGAGCGAAAGCGUGGGGAGCGAACAGGAUUAGAUACCCUGGUAGUCCACGCCGUAAACGGUGGGUACUAGGUGUGGGUUUCCUUCCUUGGGAUCCGUGCCGUAGCUAACGCAUUAAGUACCCCGCCUGGGGAGUACGGCCGCAAGGCUAAAACUCGAAGGAAUUGACGGGGGCCCGCACAAGCGGCGGAGCAUGUGGAUUAAUUCGAUGCAACGCGAAGAACCUUACCUGGGUUUGACAUGCACAGGACGCGUCUAGAGAUAGGCGUUCCCUUGUGGCCUGUGUGCAGGUGGUGCAUGGCUGU